RNAcentral lists this ribosomal RNA (465 nucleotides) under uncultured bacterium. RNAcentral's name for it is "partial 16S ribosomal RNA". It matches the Rfam family "Bacterial small subunit ribosomal RNA", at positions 28 to 507 of the family's 1533-position model. The record is from RNAcentral.
GACGAACGCUGGCGGCGUGCUUAACACAUGCAAGUCGUACGGUAAGGCCCUUUCGGGGGUACACGAGUGGCGAACGGGUGCGUAACACGUGAGUAACCUGCACACAACUUUGGGAUAACGCUAGGAAACUGGUGCUAAUACUGGAUAUGUGCUCCUGCUGCAUGGUGGGGGUUGGAAAGCUCCGGCGGUUGUGGAUGGACUCGCGGCCUAUCAGCUUGUUGGUGGGGUAGUGGCCUACCAAGGCGGCGACGGGUAGCCGGCCUGCGAGGGUGACCGGCCACAUUGGGGCUGAGAUACGGCCCAGACUCCUACGGGAGGCAGCAGGGGGGAAUAUUGCACAAUGGGCGCAAGCCGGAUGCAGCAACGCCGCGGGCGGGAUGACGGCCUUCGGGUUGUAAACCGCUUUCAGCAGGGACGAAGCUUUUUGUGACGGUACCUGCAGAAGAAGCACCGGCUAACUACGUG